UGAUUUGAAAUUCCUCUAGAGAAAGAUUUCAGUGAGAGGAGAUUAGUCCUAUCAGAUAUUAAAGCACAGAGGUGAGCAGCAUAGAAUCUAGACUGCCUGCACUCAAGUCCUGGCUGGGGAAACUCUAGUGCAAUGGUUGUAUUACUCUGUGCCUCAACUUACUCAUCAGUAAAAUGAGAAUAAUAAUAGUACUCACCCUGGGGGUUGUCAUGACAAUUAAAUGUAAUUCAUUGAGAACAGAUCUUGGCACAGAAUAAGGACUAUGUGAGCACUAGCACUUGUAAUUAUUAAGCUGCAAUAAUUAAAAUGAUUCGAUGUUGUCAUAUUCAUAUACAGAUAAACCAAUGUAUUAAAAGAGAAAAGCCCAAAUAUAGGCAGGACAAAUAGGUCAAAAUAUAUUCAGGAAUUUAGUAAGUUAAAAACUGGCAUUUCUAAUCAAUGGGGAAAGAUGAGUAAUUCAAUACAUGGUGAGGGAACAAUUGAGCAGCCAUGUGAGAAAAUGUUAUCUCAUAAUUUGCACCAAAAUAAAUUCCAUGGAGAUCAAUCAAAGAGUUAAAUGGGGGGUGGAUGGCAUGGGGGGGAGGGGAAGAACCCUAGCAUCAGAAUAAAGCACGUGAGACUAUUUUACAACCAUGGAGUAGAGGUGAUCUCCCUAAAUAUAACAUAAAACCUAAGAGCCAUGAAUAAAAAUAUUGAUAAACUCAAAUAUAUACAAAUUGUUUUUAAUUCUGCAGAGGAAAAAUCACAGUGGUUGUCUCUAGAGUGAGGAUGAGGGUUGGAGAUGAAGAAAAACAUGACAUAGUCACUGAGGAUAUAGAAGACAGUAUUUAAGGAUUCAACUCAGAUGAGAAGCCAUAAACUCUGUAAAGGCAUCGCCUCAUGUUUUUCCUCAUGCAGGAUGAAGUGCAGGAUGACAGCAGCAUCCUCUAUGCCUCCUUCACCCUCUCCAGCUCCUCCCUGCACCCCUCCCAAGGAGAGCCCGCAGGAGACCUUGUACUCUAUCGGAAAGGCCCAGUGAGCAGGACUGAAUGGGGACUCCCUGAGACUAAGCUGCACAGAAGGUCACAGCUUCUAGUAAUAACCCUGGCCAGACACAGACAAAAGCCAGUGGGUGUGGAAGGCCACCAAGGACCAGAGAGAAACAGAGCCAUCUGCUUCCAUUCCCUCUUCAACUGCCCAGCCCUUGCCCACAAAAAUAAAAGUACUAGUAGAAUUUGCCUGAAGGCACCUAAGGAGAAACUGAUGGCAUCUUCUGUCUUUUCCUUCUCGCCAAAAAUGAGCUGUAAAAGUAGCUCACACCCAAGAUCCCUCCUCCAGGGCUGGUGUUCAGUGACUGCCUUCAGGCCAGGUGGGGGACACCAAACACUGGCAGCCAGCCCAGAGCCCAGACUCUGCCCCCUUAUCUAACCAUUCUACUUCUGCUACCAUAACAUGUACCGCGUUAAGUGCAUCACUCAUGUAAGCAUCACCAGCAACCUUAUACAGUCCUGGAUGCACUCACCGGAGGCGUGAAGAGAAGACCCAGAAUGGUUAGUGCUUUUCUCAAGGCCACACACCUAGUAAGUGGCUGAGCCAGGUCUGAACCCAGACCUGCCCUUCUCGACGGCCUCCUCCCAGGACUUGGGUCUCACUGCCUUCCCAGAUC
Long non-coding RNA from Lynx canadensis (Canada lynx), 1645 nucleotides. NCBI's taxonomy places the organism in Eukaryota, Metazoa, Chordata, Mammalia, Carnivora, Felidae. The record is from Ensembl.